RNAcentral lists this ribosomal RNA (445 nucleotides) under Nebrioporus assimilis. RNAcentral describes it as "partial 16S ribosomal RNA". The stretch from base 321 to 445 matches the Rfam family "Bacterial large subunit ribosomal RNA", at positions 2473 to 2597 of the family's 2925-position model. The record is from RNAcentral. Lineage: Eukaryota; Metazoa; Arthropoda; Insecta; Coleoptera; Dytiscidae.
UUGACUGUGCAAAGGUAGCAUAAUCAUUAGUUUUUUAAUUAAAAGCUUGAAUGAAUGGUUUGACGAAAUAAAAUCUGUCUCUAGAUAAUAAUAAGAAUUUAAUUUUUAAGUUAAAAAGCUUAAAUUGAAAUAAAAGACGAGAAGACCCUAUAGAUUUUUAUAAUAAAUUUAAUAAUUUUAUUUAAGAUUUUUUUUAUAAUUAUUAUUUUUAUUAUUAUAUUGGGGUAAUAGGAAGAUUAAUAAAAUUCUUUUUAAAUUAUUACAAUAAUAAUUGUUUAUUUGAUCCUUAAUUUGAGAUAAUAAGAUUAAGUUACCUUAGGGAUAACAGCGUAAUUUUUUUAAAGAGUUCAUAUCGAUAAAAAAGUUUGCGACCUCGAUGUUGGAUUAAAAAUUAUUCUAGGUGAAGAAGUUUGGGAAAUUUGGUCUGUUCGACCAUUAAAUUUUU